Molecule: long non-coding RNA, 605 nt
Organism: Perca fluviatilis (European perch)
Lineage: Eukaryota; Metazoa; Chordata; Actinopteri; Perciformes; Percidae
Exons: 2
Source: RefSeq, a predicted model, not a curated record
GCAAUCAGUUCAUCCAGGUGUCAGUCAUCAGUCCUUAUUAGCCAAUCCUCAGAUCCCCAAACCAACCCAAAAGGGACUUAAUAGGUCUUGAGGCCUAGGAGCCGUCAGAACAUCAACAAAUGCCUGUUCCCACUCGCUCCCUGAGAAUUCUCCAGACAAUGAGCAGCUUUAUUCGCACAUGGGCUCAAUCGAUCAUUACACAGACUUUGUAGUCAGGAGCUGGCAGGAUGGCUCUUGCGUCACAAGGGGGGGCCCUGAUGGAUAAGAAGAGCUGCAGGGAGGAAGCGAUGUCGUGUGUGGGAUGAUGAAACUGUGGUCUGAAGCAGAAGAAUGGAAGCAACCGGAGAAACUCUCUCUGCUGGAUGUUUUGAUCUGCUGAUGGGAAAAAAUAAAUAAAUGGAGAGCAGAGAAGAAAGAGCCAGUUUUUUUAUUAUCAUUUAUCAUCCUGUGUGCAGCAUGAAAGGAUGGAGGGAUAGAAGAGAAGUUGAGACUGAAGACUGAAUCAUGAAAGGAAAAAGGAAGAAUGAAAUCUGCAGGAUGGGAUGUGACAUGUCCUCAGAGGAAGGAUGAAGUUAUCAAAUUAAAAGCCUGAUAUGAAAAGUAAA